UUUAGUCAGGCAACGAGCGAGACCCGUGCCCACUGUUACCAGCAUGUCCUUCGGGACGAUGGGUACUCUGUGGGGACCGCCGGUGUCAAAUCGGAGGAAGGUGCGGGCCACGGUAGGUCAGUAUGCCCCGAAUCUCCCGGGCUACACGCGGGCUACAAUGAAUGGGACAAUGGGUCCCUUCCCUGAAAAGGGUUGGCAAUCUCACAAACCCAUCCUUAGUUCGGAUCGAGGGCUGUAGCUCGCCCUCGUGAAGCUGGAAUCCGUAGUAAUCGCGUUUCAAUAUAGCGCGGUGAAUACGUCCCUGCUCCUUGCACA
Molecule: ribosomal RNA, 315 nt
Filed under: uncultured euryarchaeote
Lineage: Archaea; Methanobacteriati; Methanobacteriota
Description: bacterial SSU rRNA
Rfam family: Archaeal small subunit ribosomal RNA
Source: RNAcentral